AGCUGCGUGAUGAGCACAUAGCGAACUAUUCUUUCGCCUUUUACUAAAGAAUACCGUGGGCUCGCCACACCAAGCAGCAUACGCUAAUUUUUAAGGGUUCCUUCUCUUUGUGAGAAGGU
This 119-nucleotide small nuclear RNA is filed under the name Hordeum vulgare. RNAcentral's name for it is "U5 spliceosomal RNA". It matches the Rfam family "U5 spliceosomal RNA". From Rfam's summary of the family: U5 RNA is a component of both types of known spliceosome. The precise function of this molecule is unknown, though it is known that the 5' loop is required for splice site selection and p220 binding, and that both the 3' stem-loop and the Sm site are important for Sm protein binding and cap methylation. RNAcentral also lists the same sequence under 1 other name. The record is from RNAcentral. Lineage: Eukaryota; Viridiplantae; Streptophyta; Magnoliopsida; Poales; Poaceae.